UCGGGAAUAUUGCGCAAUGGAGGAAACUCUGACGCAGUGACGCCGCGUGCAGGAAGAAGGUUUUCGGAUUGUAAACUGCUUUAGACAGGGAAGAAAAAAGACAGUACCUGUAGAAUAAGCUCCGGCUAACUACGUGCCAGCAGCCGCGGUAAUACGUAGGGAGCAAGCGUUAUCCGGAUUUAUUGGGUGUAAAGGGUGCGUAGACGGGAAAUUAAGUUAGUUGUGAAAUCCCUCGGCUCAACUGAGGAACUGCAACUAAAACUGGUUUUCUUGAGUGUUGGAGAGGAAAGUGGAAUUCCUAGUGUAGCGGUGAAAUGCGUAGAUAUUAGGAGGAACACCAGUGGCGAAGGCGACUUUCUGGACAGUAACUGACGUUGAGGCACGAAAGUGUGGGGAGCAAACA
RNAcentral lists this ribosomal RNA (403 nucleotides) under uncultured bacterium. Its description in RNAcentral is "bacterial SSU rRNA". It matches the Rfam family "Bacterial small subunit ribosomal RNA", at positions 355 to 774 of the family's 1533-position model. The record is from RNAcentral.